UGGAUAUUCAGAAACCGAAGGCAUAAUUCAUAUUCCUCCAACAAGUCCACGCAAAUAACCACAAUCAGAAUGUUAGUUCAUAACUGGCCAUAUAGAACGCAAUACAAAAGCACUAAAAGCGUCCAAGUGAAAGUGCUUUCUCCUCAUGUAGUUUCAUUUAACUUAGUUUCACAUGCCAGUCCGUCACACACUCAACUCCUCAACGUUCGGGCUCAAAGCAUUCUUUAUCCCUUAUGUACGAGAGACAAUAAGUUUAAAGUUCUUGUGAUGAAAUCAUGUAAAACAUUCAGAAAUCUUGAUUUAACCCUUUCUCAAGAUCAUAGGUUGUGUCAUCUCAACCUAUAUCUUAGGUCUCAUGAGUGCUCGUAAUACACUAAUAUGACGCUUGUUUUCUGGCCAGGACAGAAACAAAAUCAUGCAGGAAAUUGUCAUGACAACUUAAGCGUAAAAUGCGACCGGAAAAACACUAAACAGGAUAGCUAUGCUUUCUUCGUGUAAACCUUAACAACAAAGACAAUACCGUAUCUGUCACAGUGAUAUGCGACCAUAAGCCCAACUCCAAGGAUCAGCUUUCCAAGAGCUUUGAAGGCUACAAAUCAAAAGUUACAUGCAGUGAUGACAUAAUCAUGAAAAAAUACAAUCAUAAAUUAAAGGAAAACAUACCGACU
Molecule: long non-coding RNA, 668 nt
Filed under: Malus domestica (apple)
Lineage: Eukaryota; Viridiplantae; Streptophyta; Magnoliopsida; Rosales; Rosaceae
Description: long non-coding RNA (MDOM_LNC001351)
Source: RNAcentral